RNAcentral lists this microRNA precursor (71 nucleotides) under Carlito syrichta (Philippine tarsier). RNAcentral's name for it is "miRNA (ENSTSYG00000036343.1)". The record is from RNAcentral. Lineage: Eukaryota; Metazoa; Chordata; Mammalia; Primates; Tarsiidae.
GCUUGAACCCAGGCGGUUGAGGCUGCAGUAAGCUAUGAUUGUGCCACUGCACUUCAGCCUGGGUGACAGAG